This 466-nucleotide ribosomal RNA is filed under the name uncultured bacterium. RNAcentral's name for it is "partial 16S ribosomal RNA". It matches the Rfam family "Bacterial small subunit ribosomal RNA", at positions 28 to 506 of the family's 1533-position model. The record is from RNAcentral.
GACGAACGCUGGCGGCGUGCUUAACACAUGCAAGUCGAACGGAAAGGCCCUGCUUUUGUGGGGUGCUCGAGUGGCGAACGGGUGAGUAACACGUGAGUAACCUGCCCUUGACUUUGGGAUAACUUCAGGAAACUGGGGCUAAUACCGGAUAGGAGCUCCUGCUGCAUGGUGGGGUUGGAAAGUUUCGGCGGUUGGGGAUGGACUCGCGGCUUAUCAGCUUGUUGGUGGGGUAGUGGCUUACCAAGGCUUUGACGGGUAGCCGGCCUGAGAGGGUGACCGGCCACAUUGGGACUGAGAUACGGCCCAGACUCCUACGGGAGGCAGCAGUGGGGAAUAUUGCACAAUGGGCGGAAGCCUGAUGCAGCAACGCCGCGUGCGGGAGGACGGCCUUCGGGUUGUAAACCGCUUUCGCCUGUGACGAAGCGUGAGUGACGGUAAUGGGUAAAGAAGCACCGGCUAACUACGU